AAUGUCGAAUCGGGAUUCACUAAGACAAAAAUAAAGCAUUGGGUCUAACUCUUCUUUGGUGUUAAGGUGAUAGUUGUGAAUAGCCAUCAACUACCUAGAAAAGGUAGAAGAAUAGGACCUAUUCUGGGUGGGCUAAUGACUAGGGUGAUCUAUUACCUUGUUGAGGGUAAGAGGUAA
This 177-nucleotide ribosomal RNA is filed under the name Triticum aestivum (bread wheat). Its description in RNAcentral is "partial small subunit ribosomal RNA". Lineage: Eukaryota; Viridiplantae; Streptophyta; Magnoliopsida; Poales; Poaceae. The record is from RNAcentral.